This 2450-nucleotide long non-coding RNA is filed under the name Mus musculus (house mouse). RNAcentral describes it as "long non-coding RNA chr10:67555823-67558273". Lineage: Eukaryota; Metazoa; Chordata; Mammalia; Rodentia; Muridae. The record is from RNAcentral.
CCAGUAAAGUGGAAAGCAAAUCUGCAUGCUAAUGGGAUGGCUAUGUUUAUUUACCUUUACAUGAAGGAACACUCUUGGCUGAAUGGUUAAUACUGAAGGACAGAGAGCUUCAUCCAACUGUUUUCAGAGUUGGUCCAUAAUCUUGUUUCAUAAUUGCCUGCGCCGAGAGCACCACAAAAUGGCAGAAGUGCAUUCAGGGUCGUGUCAGAAAUCACCGAGCAUUCCACCUUAAAACUAGCCCAGAAGUUACAUCAAAAUAUUGUUGUUGUUGUUGUUGUUGUUGUUGUUGUUUUUAAUGAAACUCAAGUCAGCAACGCACAUAGCAAGUUUUAAACCUCAGAAAUAUAAUCUAGACUAAUCUGAAACACGCUGAGGGACACUGGUUGAAAGCAUGGAAAGCCUCCAUUUUCCCUAGUUAAGCCAUCAUGUUAGAGGAGCAGAAAAAGCCGCGUGAACAGUAAGAAACACUGCAGUCCUUUUACAACGCGUGGCAGGCAGGACUCUGAGCAUGGUGUUUGAGGCGAUGCUCGUUGGUGGGGCGUGGUGUGACGGCAUGCGGGAUGAUCAUUGGUGGGGUGGGGUGUGACAGCACGCGGAAUGCUCACGGGUGGUCAGAACCAGGGCUGCAAUGACGUCAUCCAGCCAUCCAGUGCAGCACAGGUGAGCACUGCUAGAAACGCCUUGGCCUGAUUAAGCCUUUGAUUUUGAAGUGAUGUUUGGUCAUUGUGCAUUCAAAAACUUUACUGUUGACAUGGUCCUUUUGUUGUUGUUGUUGGUGGUGGUGUUUUUUUGUUUUGUUUUGUUUUUUAAUGCCCACCCCCUACGUUCACUUAUUCAACUCUUUCUGGGUGACAACCCGCUGAAGUGGAACUUUAUCGUUUUGUUUGAGAUUCAGUUGUGUCGUGUGAUGUUCUUCUGGAGACUGUCUUAUGAGAGGAUGUUUCGCUGAAGCAGACACGCGAGAGGAUGUUUUGCUGAUAAUAGACAUUUGGUCAUGUUUUUCUGGAAGCUGCCUGCUGAAAGGGCGUGUGAUGUUUUGCUGGAGGGGAUGCUUGAGAGGACCCUUGACGUUUGGAAAGAGUGUAAGUAUAACCCAACAGGCAGUGGACGAUGCUCCUGCAUCGGCUCUUGCAUCUCUUUGUCAGUCACCGUUGGGCUUCCCUGAUGCUGGUCUUCACUGAUGAUGCUCUUGCAUUGGUUUGCCUUGCUUUCUUUUCUUCACUGAUCUUCGCUUGUGACUUCUUAGAGAAGCACACCGAAGAACUUCUGGUGGUAUUCUGGCUGCUUCUUGACGCUUCUCAGGACUCCUGGUGAUCUGCAGAGCCUUGCAGUUUCUACUGGAUCCAGCUGCUACUGCUUACUGGUGUUUGGUGUUUUGCUAGUGAGCUGGACUGCUGACAAUGAAGAUUGGAAUCACCCCCAAAGAACUAUUUAUAAAUAAGUUCACAAUUCCUGUUCCCUAUUAGCCUCUCUUUUCCCUACCUCUGGUGGGUGGUGGGCUAGGAGGGAAGUCGAAGCGUUAAAGAACCAACAUUAAAGUAGGUUUUGAAAAAUCCAAGCCUACAGCCCACAGUUUAAGAAGCUAAACUGUGGACCUGUGGAUGUAGGGUUGGGAUAGGAAAGAACUUUAGCUGGUUCCUUUCCCCGUCUUCACCAACUUAAUUUGAGAAGGCAAGGGAGAAAGGAAUGACAAUUAAGCGAAUCUGUAGGCAGAGGUGGGGUGAGGUAUACCUGCCUGCAUGUUGUUAAAGAAGAGAAACUUGUGCUCUUCACAGUCUGACAGCUACCAAAGGUCAGUGCACUCUCUAGUUUCCUGUCAACUUGACACGAGUUAGAGUCAUCAGAGGAGGGAGCCUCAGUUGAGUAAAUGCCUCCGUAAGACCAAGCUGUAGGGAAGCCUAUAGGGCGUUUUCUUAUUUAGUGAUUGAUGGGGGAAAGCCCCACCCAUUGUGGAUGGAGCCAUCCCUGGGUAAAUGGUCCUGGGUUCUAUAAGAAAGGAGGCUAAGCAAGCCAUGAUGAUCAAGCAAGUAAGCAGCACCCCUCCAUGAUCUCUGUAUCAGUUCCUGCCUCCAGGUUCCUGCCCUGUGUGAGUUCCUGCCCUUAUUUCCUUCCUUCAGUGGUGCUCUACAAUGAGAAAGUGUAAGACAAAUAGACCCUGCCCUCCCCAACUGGCUUUUGGUUAUGGUGUUUCAUCACAGCAAUAGUAACCCCGAUUAAGACAGCCCCUUUGAGAAUGGAUUUUUGGUGUCAAUAUACCCUUACCAGCUUGAUACUGGAGAGGUUGUCCUCUUGGACUUUAAACAAUGUGACUAUUAUGAGACCCAAAAUAGUCACAAGCUGUAAAUUAAAUUCAAACACAUUGUACCUCUCUUAAUACUCAGCCCCACUCCAUGCUUUUUGUUUUUCUCCCCCCUCGCCAAGAAGACAUCAGCCAUCUCCACCUCCUCCGC